RNAcentral lists this ribosomal RNA (408 nucleotides) under uncultured bacterium. RNAcentral describes it as "bacterial SSU rRNA". It matches the Rfam family "Bacterial small subunit ribosomal RNA", at positions 976 to 1381 of the family's 1533-position model. The record is from RNAcentral.
UAGCCUUGACAUACCAAAAAGAUUUCAGAGAUGAGAUUGUGCCUGCUUGCAGGAAUUUGGAUACAGGUGCUGCACGGCUGUCGUCAGCUCGUGUCGUGAGAUGUUGGGUUAAGUCCCGCAACGAGCGCAACCCUCGUCCUUAGUUGCUAACAGUUCGGCUGAGCACUCUAAGGAGACUGCCUUCGUAAGGAGGAGGAAGGUGAGGACGACGUCAAGUCAUCAUGGCCCUUAUGGCUAGGGCUACACACGUGCUACAAUGGAUAAGACAAAUAGUCGCAAUACCGCGAGGUGGAGCAAAUCUAUAAACUUAUUCUCAGUUCGGAUAGCAGUCUGCAACUCGACUGCUUGAAGCUGGAAUCGCUAGUAAUCGUAAAUCAGCAAUGUUACGGUGAAUACGUUCCCGGGUCU